AACGCACAUUGCGCCCGCCAGCAUUCUGGCGGGCAUGCCUGUUCGAGCGUCAUUUCAACCCUCAAGCCCAGCUUGGUGUUGGGGCCCUACGGUCGACGUAGGCCCUUAAAGGUAGUGGCGGACCCUCCCGGAGCCUCCUUUGCGUAGUAACUUAACGUCUCGCACUGGGAUCCGGAGGGACUCUUGCCGUAAAACCCCCAAAACUUUUACAGGUUGACCUCGGAUCAGGUAGGAAUACCCGCUGAACUUAA
This 251-nucleotide unclassified non-coding RNA is filed under the name uncultured fungus. Its description in RNAcentral is "partial contains 5.8S ribosomal RNA, internal transcribed spacer 2, and large subunit ribosomal RNA". Lineage: Eukaryota; Fungi. The record is from RNAcentral.